UACGUAGGUGACAAGCGUUAUCCGGAAUUACUGGGCGUAAAGCGCUCGCAGGCGGCUGCGUAAGUCUGACGUGAAAUCUCUCGGCUUAACCGGGAGCGGUCGUUGGAAACUAUGCGGCUUGAGGCGAUGAGAGGGGUGUGGAAUUCCCGGUGUAGUGGUGGAAUGCGUAGAUAUCGGGAGGAACAUCAGUGGCGAAAGCGGCACCCUGGCAUUAGCCUGACGCUCAGGUGCGAAAGCGUGGGGAGCGAACGGG
This 253-nucleotide ribosomal RNA is filed under the name uncultured bacterium. RNAcentral describes it as "partial 16S ribosomal RNA". It matches the Rfam family "Bacterial small subunit ribosomal RNA", at positions 524 to 776 of the family's 1533-position model. The record is from RNAcentral.